Molecule: long non-coding RNA, 5293 nt
Organism: Megalobrama amblycephala (Wuchang bream)
Lineage: Eukaryota; Metazoa; Chordata; Actinopteri; Cypriniformes; Xenocyprididae
Exons: 3
Source: RefSeq, a predicted model, not a curated record
UAUUGUUGUUUAACAAUGUAUGGCAUGGCACUACAUGAUGCAGAAAGAUAAUUUUCAUUAUUAUUAAUAUAAUUUUUUUAUUAAUAUGCUAUUUAAUUUUAUAAAUGUAAAAUAACCACAAUGCUUUUGAGACAAAUACUAAUAAUAGGUUAUACACUCUUCAUCCUUAUUUUGACUAGGAGCGCCUGCUACACUGUGAUUUCUCCAUAACAAGCACUUAAAUGUGUGGAUGUCUUUUCGAAGAGUUUGGGGUUCACUCUGUUCUUUUGGGAGAUUGGGGGUGGGUUUUUACUACACCAGAUUCUUAUUUUGCACUUUAUUUAAUCUGUCCUUUUGUGCUAAUUCAGAGGUAGGACUACUGUUAUAAUUACUCAAAUCAAUGUUUUUGUUUUCUCAAAUAAAAAUAAGUAAUACAGCCAGUAUAUCAGCAGGAUGCAAUAUAAAUUUUAUUAGCUGUAAUGUUAAGUCCUUAAAUCACCCUGUGAAGCGUAGAAAAGUACUUCAUCAUUUAAAACAACUUAAAGUGGGGAUCGCCUUUCUUCAGGAAACUUAUUUAUGUAAAACAGACCAUUUUAGAUUGAAGUGUGAGUGGGUAGGUCAGUUAUAUCACUCUAAUUUUAAUUCUAAAUCAAGAGGCACAGCCAUUCUUAUUGAAAAAAAGCAUCCCAUUUGAGGCCUCAAUGGUUGAAGCAGACUCUACAGGUCGCUAUGUCAUAGUAGUUGGUAAACUUUACAAUUUAUCAGUUGUCCCUGCUAAUGUGUAUGCACCAAACUAUAAUGAUAGUCUCUUUUUCACAAACAUUUUUUCUAGAUUACCAAAGUUGGAUACACAUCAGUUGAUAUUAGGAGGAGAUUUAAACUGCGUAAUGUCUUCAUUUUUAGACCGUAGCUCUCUUGAAGCUACCAUCCCAUCCAAGUCAGCCAAUACCCCGACAGCAACAUAGUGUCGGCCCAGAUCCGGCCCACAUCUGGUCCGCGUGUAAUCCACAUGUACCAGAUGUGGGCCCGAUCUGGGCCACACUAUGUUGCUGUCUGGGUACCAUUAAAUUAUUCCUCGAUACAUAUGGGAUAUCUGAUGUAUGGCGUUUUCGCAACCCUGGGUCAAAAAGUUAUUCUCUUUUUUUCACCUGUCCAUCACACUUAUUCACGUAUAGACUCUUUUUCUUAGACAAGAAUCUUCUUCCUUUGGUUAGGCAUUGUGAGUAUCAAGCUAUUGUCAUUUCAGACCAUGCCCCACUAACAAUGACACUAUGCAUCCCACUUACAUUUGAUAGAUAUCGUCCCUGGCGCUUUAAUACUUUGUUGCUUUCAGAUGAAGCAUUUCUUAAACUUAUGUCAACGAAGAUAAAAAUAUUUCUUGAACAUAACCAAACCCCGGGAAUGCCAUUUUCAGUUAUAUGGGAAGCAAUGAAAGCAUACUUGAGAGGAGAAAUAAUAUCUUAUAGUUCCCACCAUGGGCGACACAAUAUUUUUCCCUAAGUGAUCUGUCAGCUCCAGUCCACUACACUUUGGAGCGGUUAAGGCCCGGGUAUAUUUCAUUUCCCACGUUCCCCUCCGUCUCGCGCACAGUUGAGCGCGCAAGUCUUUCUAAAAUACUCCUUUACCCCCUGACCGCGCGAGAAAUGUAUCAAAGAUACUCCUUUGCCCAUGAGCGUGGAAAGACGCGUUCGGCACAUGCAAACGCGCACUGUCCGUGGUCAUAAAAAUUCGGCUGCGCGGAGAGUCAAAGCUAGUCCACAGUCUAGUAAACGUUUCUUGCUUGUGCCAAGUGAAAACACGUGAGAAACAUCAUGAGACAUGAGACAUUGCAGUACUGAACACUGAACGGUCCAUGCAUGUGGAUUUGGAUAAAGAGUUAAUCGAUUUGAUGCCGUGCCCGAACGUCGUUUAUCCCUUCACAGUGGCAUAUAGUUGACGGGCAUGCAGAGUUAUUAAAUUAUUUUUUUAUUAUCAUGCUACUUUUAUUAUUAAAUUAAUAUUGCAAUUCAUUUGCCCCGCGAUAUCAUAGCGCAUAACCGACGCACUGCGAGGACAAUAAAAUAUUAGCUUACUCCUCAUUUAAAGAACAACUUGUUUAAAUAGCUUGAAUUGCUUCAUUUAGUAUAUACAUGGAUGUAUGAAUAUUCAAAUUUGUCCCCGUCCACAUUCAUUCACAGCAGCUUGGAGUCCACAAGGUUUACUAUAGUAAAUGCCACACAAUGGCAAGUGGAAAUAUUGUUUUAAUCAAUCCAUGUAUGUUUGAACCUGAAAGUGAUUCAGAGGAAGAAGAUCAAGAGUGAAUUAUUCAGGCUUUUCUACAAGUCCUUGAGUCAGAAUGAUAAUGUGUUUUCUGCAUCGCUCUCGACAGCGUCAGACACAUUGUAGUAUGUCAUGAUUACACACAUAAUGUUGGAUAAUAAAGUGUUACUGUGAUUUAAGGUUGACCUCGAGGACAGUGAUUCAGAACCAGAGAGCAAUGUUACACAGGUUUGUUUGUUAAAUCUCACAAUGGGCCUAAUUUAGCAUUGAACUCUGGUACAUUACAGCUGUAUAUAUCUGGCUUGUUGUUUUCUUUCUGUCGUUGUUAUAAGGAGGACUGAGGGAGAGUCAUUCACAGUCAUAGUACAGGUAUUGUAAGGAGAAAAACCCUCUUCACAUGUUGAUCAUGUACAGUAAAGCAGUUCUGUCAGGUGACGUUAGUCGAGCUCAUAUCAGCUGACCCUCAUGUAGGAGGAUGAUUCCUGUCACAUUUGAACAUGAAAACAUGCGAUUUACCGUGAAACAAGUUUUACUUUACUGUUAGUGAACAGAAUAGUUAUGGAUGGCACUGAUCUACUCUCACUUCUUACUGUGUUAUUCCUAGUGUCAAGAUAGUGAUUUUAAAAGGUUCAAUAUUGUGAAAGAUCCCGUCGAUCAUGUGACUUUCUCUUGAGCCAUGUAGAGUCUGAGGACAGUGACGUCUCGCAGGUUGUUGUCUUGCACCGUACACUUUGUUAAAAAACAUGAAGUUCUUCUGAUAUCACUUUGAAUGCUUCAGGAAAUGUGGAUGGCUUUACGGCAACAGCAGAUGCAGAUUAUGUUUUGUCCCUAAGAUCUGAUCAAGAAAAGAUAGGAUUAUUUUUGGGACAUUAAUUUUAAUAAUCACAACUCAAUCAUUAUUGAUUCAUUUCAAGUGUUUAUGACAUGAUGACAUUUUCCUUGACCUUGAUAAUAUUAGUAAAAAUAAUUGCAUCAAAAGUGUAUUACUUUACAUGUAUACAUGUAUUAUUAUAAUCUCCAUAAUUUCUCAUGAACAGAAACGUUUUGUGUUAGCUUACCAUUAUGUUGUAUUAAGUCCAGUUUAAGGAGAAAAUAGCAAUGGUGUUGAUGUUGAAUUUGCACAUGGUUUGUCUUAAUUAAUCCUUGUCAGCAGAUGUUCUUACAAACUGAAACUAUAUUACAGAUUUCCAGUUAAACGUUCUAAUGAAACUAGAUAAAAUAAUCACAACAAAAGAAGAGCAUUCUCUGCUGAUUCGACGACUGCUGUUGAUAAUUUACCUGAUUUUCUUUCAUUUGAGGAGAAACUGAGAGUGGAUGAGGAGCUCCAAAGAAAAACAGUUAAGAAUCUGACAUUUUAUUUAAUAAAAUACAGCUGAACUGUAAUGUGUAUAUGCAUGUGAUUUGACUAUAGCAUUUAAUUUAAAUUCAGGUUAAAUAUCUUUCUUCACUCGGAGGGCCGAACUAUGCAGAAACAGUGCGGCAAUUGAUGUGAAAAACUGCAACUUCAGAAGUGUGGGCACAGUAUAGUGUCAAAGGAAGGAAGGGGAAGAGGAAACUUGAAGAACUUUGUGUUUACAGAGUUCUACUAAGUAAUAAAUAACAGUAUUUGCAUAUAUUACUGUAAUUUUAAUUAGAUUUAAUUUCCGUAAGCAUUAAAGUGACAGAAUUCUACAUGAUUGGUAAUACAAAAUAGAUGAUUUCCUUGUUGUGUAUCUCUAAAAACUGCACUUGUAUUGUAAAGAUUUUAGGGUCAAUAAUGAACAGCCUGGGUCCACCAGUACGGAUGCUGAAGGCCAUAUUGCAGAGACGCUGAAACAUGCACCAGGCCUGGUCAGGAAGAGGACUAAUCGACCAGUUACCCCACAAUUACAAGAUGGUUCACUGGAUCUCUUUUCAUUAUAAUUUGAAUCAUUCUCAGCUGAUUGCCACUCGUUCACUACACACUGGUUUAUUCUUUCUUUGAUUUGUCUUCUAUUUAGUCUCUUUUGCUAGAUUAUUUUCUCAUGUCUGCUCACACUAACUAGUCACUCCUUGUCUAGUCCCGUCAUGUGAAGCUCUGAUAUGCUUUGUUCUCAGUUUACCUGUGCCUGUGCAGCGCUCUCUGUUCCCCGAUGGUCAACUACACUCCCGUCUGCCAUGAACAGAACCUAUUUUUGUUCAUUAAACGUUUUGAUCAUUUUGAUUAAACGUUUUUUUUUUAUAUAUAUAUAUUAUUUUAUAUUAUUUAUUUAUUAUUUAAAAUGUACACAAAUAUAUUGUGGGGGGAGGGUAGGAAGUUGUUUAAAUAUACAUAAAAUAUAUUUUCUUUGGAUAUUUACUCGUUAUCUUCCAUGUUUUUAAUAAAAGUAUGUUAAAUAAAUAUAUACAAUCAUAUACAGUUACUUUUUAGUAUUAUUUUUAUUUAUAUAUUAUAUUAUAUUAUUAUUAUAGUAAAUGUUUGCCUUUUGGAAUUAACAUGUGAUUAAUUGUGAUUAUAUGCUGUGUUUUAAUAAAGUUAAAUUAUAUUGCUGGCCUUGUAUGUCAUUUUUGCUCUUCAAAGUUUACACUUGCAUGUGUUGAUUAUACUUAAUUUACUGUUUGCCCAUAAAUAAUAAGGAUAUACGAUAUUUUAAAAGCAUUUAAAUACCUAACGUAUGACCAUUGAAAAAUGAACCCCAAAAUAUUACACGCAGAAUGGGGAAAUAUUUAUAAUCUGUCAUUGAAAAACAAGUUGUCCGAACGUCGUCUCACAGUUGCUCAAUGUUGCGCAACAACGUUGCUACAACCCUGUCGCCUCUUACAAUUCUACAAUUCACAAUGUUGCGCGCACGUAGACGGCGAUGUUGCCGAAGUAGAACUGCAACGUGCCACAGACGUCACAACGUAAAUGUGUUUGCUGGGAAUAUCCUUCAUUACAGUUAGAUAAAGAAUCACAAUGUUACAUUAAAUAGUAAAUAAACUCAUUUAACAUCGCUUGUAUAAAACAAAACACAACUAUAAAUCAUUGAACUGUUUCUAUAGAUGAAAACAGCUUAAAUUCUUAAAACAAACCUUUCUUCAGCAGAAUCACAUCAGA